UGGGGAAUUUUGGACAAUGGGGGAAACCCUGAUCCAGCCAUCCCGCGUGUGCGAUGAAGGCCUUCGGGUUGUAAAGCACUUUUGGCAGGAAAGAAACGUCAUGGGUUAAUACCCCGUGAAACUGACGGUACCUGCAGAAUAAGCACCGGCUAACUACGUGCCAGCAGCCGCGGUAAUACGUAGGGUGCAAGCGUUAAUCGGAAUUACUGGGCGUAAAGCGUGCGCAGGCGGUUCGGAAAGAAAGAUGUGAAAUCCCAGAGCUCAACUUUGGAACUGCAUUUUUAACUACCGGGCUAGAGUGUGUCAGAGGGAGGUGGAAUUCCGCGUGUAGCAGUGAAAUGCGUAGAUAUGCGGAGGAACACCGAUGGCGAAGGCAGCAGCCUGGGAUAACACUGACGCUCAUGCACGAAAGCGUGGGGAGCAAACAGG
This 429-nucleotide ribosomal RNA is filed under the name Acidobacteriota bacterium. RNAcentral describes it as "Acidobacteria bacterium partial 16S ribosomal RNA". It matches the Rfam family "Bacterial small subunit ribosomal RNA", at positions 355 to 776 of the family's 1533-position model. The record is from RNAcentral. Lineage: Bacteria; Pseudomonadati; Acidobacteriota.